Long non-coding RNA from Microtus ochrogaster (prairie vole), 547 nucleotides. RefSeq lists it as uncharacterized. Lineage: Eukaryota; Metazoa; Chordata; Mammalia; Rodentia; Cricetidae. The record is from RefSeq and is a predicted model, not a curated record. The transcript is spliced from 2 exons.
CGCCGGGGGAGAGAAACCCGCGCGCUUCUUAUCGAAGGGAAAGCUAAUCUCUGUGUCGCGGCGUGGAGGCGCCGUGGAUCCUGCAGUCGGGGCUCCGGAAAUCCCUCCCGGGGCUCGAGAAGCCGCUCCGUCUGCGGAAGCCGCUUCCGGGAGGAGCCUGACCCUGGCUGGGCGCGCAGGCGGCCGCGGGAUGGGCGGCGGGUGGCAGGGCUGCACGGUGCCCGGGCGUCUCCAGUGUGCCACACACACGAGGCCGUCCAAUUAAACUCAGUUGUAUGCCUCUUUUUCCCCACCUAGAAAGCGAACUAUCCGGCCCCCUGCGACUGAACGAAGUCAUGCAGUAACGCCUUUCUCCUCCGAGGAGUUUCAGGUGAACUCAGCGUGGGUGACCCAGGUCAUCCGACUGGAAGAUUAUUGUGUGCACUGAGUGAGAACCUGGGCCUGCUGCGUGCCCCUGAACCUGUGGGUUUGACUCUGGAGUGGCGCUCGCCAGCUGAAGACUGCUUUGUGUGGUGACUCUAAAUAAAUGGAGUUUGGCCACACUCUG